This 253-nucleotide ribosomal RNA is filed under the name uncultured bacterium. Its description in RNAcentral is "partial 16S ribosomal RNA". It matches the Rfam family "Bacterial small subunit ribosomal RNA", at positions 524 to 776 of the family's 1533-position model. The record is from RNAcentral.
UACAGAGGUCUCAAGCGUUGUUCGGAUUCAUUGGGCGUAAAGGGUGCGUAGGUGGCGCGUUAAGUCAGGUGUGAAAUUUCGGAGCUUAACUCCGAAACUGCAUUUGAUACUGGCGUGCUUGAGGACUGGAGAGGAGACUGGAAUUCAUGGUGUAGCAGUGAAAUGCGUAGAGAUCAUGAGGAAGACCAGUGGCGAAGGCGGGUCUCUGGACAGUUCCUGACGCUGAGGCACGAAAGCGUGGGGAGCAAACAGG